AAAAGUUAGAAAGUCCCUUUCUCAGCCUGGCACUUGAAGGAGUCAGAGCUCUUCAUUUCUCAGUCUCAAGGUUGUUUAUUGUAUCUUAUCUAUAAAAUUCUUUCUCCUGCCCUGCCAAGGUCUGUCCAGCAGGACAGUUCCAGGCACCCUGCCUGCCCCCAGGGUGGUGUUAUGUCUUUAUACUAAAAACUUCAAUAUUUACAAUUACUUUCCAAUACCCAUCACCUGUGUUAGACAGUGAGCUUCUACUCUAAACCAAUCUGUAAGUGCCAACAUCACAGCACAAGAUGGAGGCCAAGAAGAAGAAGGAGAAAGGCUGGACAUCUCCAGUUCCCUCCAUCUUGCCCCCUGAACCCCCAUACCAAAAACCCCAAAAUCUGCUUUUCCACCCCAUGACAACUUCACUGUCAUUCUACCUAAACUGUUGUGGCUUGCAGAUCUUCAUCUAAGGUUGGUAAUUUGCUCCAUGAGUCAUAAUCAAACCCAGGGGUGUUUUGGGCUCCAUGCCAGGGUCUCUGAGCCCCCUGGCAGGGUCCUGGCCAUCCUGGACAGCCAGAGGGAUGUCCUGGGUUCCCACACAAGCUGACCAGGCUGCUCCAGGACUCCCUGAGGGGGAACACCAGGACCCUGAUGGUGGCAUGAGUGUCCCCAGCUGAUGACAGCUACGAGGAAAGCCUCAGCACCCUGUGCUAUGCAAGUCGGGCCAGGAACAUCAGGAACAAGCCCUGCAUCAACCAGGACCCCAAGGACGCCCUGCUGAGGGAGUACCAGGAGGAGAUUGAGAAGCUGAAGGCUGUUCUGGCUGAACAGAUGGGCACGAGUGACUUGUCAGGGCUUCUACCUGCUGAGGCUGCUCACCUGGAGCAAAUCCAGCUCCCUGCCUCAAUCCCCAGGUGGAUCUGGAAGAAGAGAAGCAGCUGAUCAGAGCACUGACACAUGGACUAGAACAAUCUCUGACCACACACCUUCACAUGAAGAUGCUGUUGCUGCAGCACAUGAAGAGCCAACAUCAGCCCAGGCUCCUUCUCCCCUCAGGAUGAAUAACCCUGAGAAUUUGUGGGCAAUUCUGUCUGUUAAGGGAGAGAUCUCCAAAGAAACCCUUCAUUUGGAUUUGAUAUCAACAUUACCUGAGUGGGUAAUGUUGUGCUUCAUCUCCCCCAAUAAUCCUGUUUCAGGGGCACUGAAAUAGGGCUGGGAUAUGAGGGAUGCAGGCUUGGACUUGUGCUCAGCCCAAAUCAAAAUCAACCUGGCUCAAGGUUUUCUCUGUGUGAGAGAAUUCCCUCAGCCAGAGCACACCACCACUUAUUGGGGCAGCAUGGGGGCUUGGGCUGCUCCAGAAAUACAGGAUUGAAGCAAAUUCUGAUUUUUCACUUCCUCCAUUGUGUGGAACUAGAUACAAUUAGAAAAGCUCAAGCCAAGAUGUGCUGUGACAGUCUGAUUCUGAACAGUUCUGUGGGUUUUAAGCUGUCCUUCUGUGGGUUUUAACCAGUCCUUCUGUGGGUUUUAACCUGUUCUUCUGUGGGUUUUAACCAGUCUUUCAGCUUCCCUGUGGUGUGUGCUCACUCUGUUGGGUCUCUCCUGGCUCAAAAAGGAGCUGCUAUGAAAUGCAGAACAGCAGUGCCUGUAAUUUGUGGGUAAUUCUGUCUGUUAAGGGAGAGAUCUCCAAAGAAACCCUUCAUUUGGAUUAGAUAUCAAAUGUUAGUGCUCCUAUUGUAAAAAUAAAUCCUUUUGUGGCAAACA
Molecule: long non-coding RNA, 1740 nt
Organism: Junco hyemalis (dark-eyed junco)
Lineage: Eukaryota; Metazoa; Chordata; Aves; Passeriformes; Passerellidae
Source: Ensembl